RNAcentral lists this transfer RNA (85 nucleotides) under Streptomyces sp. NPDC093272. Its description in RNAcentral is "tRNA-Leu". It matches the Rfam family "tRNA". Rfam says of the family: Transfer RNA (tRNA) molecules are approximately 80 nucleotides in length. RNAcentral also lists the same sequence under 14 other names. The record is from RNAcentral. Lineage: Bacteria; Bacillati; Actinomycetota; Actinomycetes; Kitasatosporales; Streptomycetaceae.
GCGGCCGUGAUGGAAUUGGUCAGACAUGCUGCGUUUAGGGCGCAGUGGGCGAAAGCCCGUGUGGGUUCGAGUCCCACCGGCCGUA